This 515-nucleotide ribosomal RNA is filed under the name uncultured Hanseniaspora. RNAcentral's name for it is "eukaryotic LSU rRNA". It matches the Rfam family "Eukaryotic large subunit ribosomal RNA", at positions 63 to 585 of the family's 3401-position model. The record is from RNAcentral. Lineage: Eukaryota; Fungi; Ascomycota; Saccharomycetes; Saccharomycodales; Saccharomycodaceae.
AACCAACCGGGAUUGCCUCAGUAACGGCGAGUGAAGCGGCAAAAGCUCAAAUUUGAAAUCUGGCACUUUCAGUGUCCGAGUUGUAAUUUGUAGAAGUAGUUUUGGGACUGGUCCUUAUCUAUGUUUCUUGGAACAGGACGUCAUAGAGGGUGAGAACCCCGUAUGAUGAGGCCCCAGUCCUUUGUAAAACGCUUUCGAAGAGUCGAGUUGUUUGGGAAUGCAGCUCUAAGUGGGUGGUAAAUUCCAUCUAAAGCUAAAUAUUGGCGAGAGACCGAUAGCGAACAAGUACAGUGAUGGAAAGAUGAAAAGAACUUUGAAAAGAGAGUGAAAAAGUACGUGAAAUUGUUGAAAGGGAAGGGCAUUUGAUCAGACAUGGUGUUUUGCGCCCUUUGCUCCUUGUGGGCGAGGAUACGCAGCUCACUGGGCCAACAUCAGUUCUGGCGGCAGGAUAAAUCAUUAAGAAUGUAGCUACUUCGGUAGUGUUAUAGCUUUUUGGAAUACUGCCAGUCUGGGUA